RNAcentral lists this ribosomal RNA (476 nucleotides) under uncultured bacterium. Its description in RNAcentral is "bacterial SSU rRNA". It matches the Rfam family "Bacterial small subunit ribosomal RNA", at positions 33 to 507 of the family's 1533-position model. The record is from RNAcentral.
ACGCUGGCGGCGUGCUUAAUACAUGCAAGUCAACUUGACUUUAGAUAGCAAUAUCGAAAAGUAGGGUGGCGCACGGGUGCGUAACGCGUAGGUAAUCUGCCCUGAGGUCUGACAUAACCCGUCGAAAGGCGGGCUAACAUCAGAUGAUAUAUAAUCACGACAUCGUGGAAAUAUCAAAUCUUCGGAGCCUUGGGAUGAGCCUGCGUCUGAUUAGGUAGUUGGCGGAGUAAUAGCCCACCAAGCCUACGAUCAGUAGCUGGUCUGAGAGGAUGAUCAGCCACACUGGAACUGAGACACGGUCCAGACUCCUACGGGAGGCAGCAGUAAGGAAUAUUGCUCAAUGGGGGGAAACCCUGAAGCAGCAACGCCGCGUGAAGGAUGAAAUACUUUUGUAUGUAAACUUCUGUAAGAUGGGAAAAAUAUUCUCCUCGGGAGAAUUGAUUGUACCAUCAGAGUAAGCCCCGGCUAACUAGGUG